GACGAACGCUGGCGGCGUGCCUAAUACAUGCAAGUCGAGCGGAACUGGGGGAGCUUGCUCCUUCCAGUUUAGCGGCGGACGGGUGAGUAACACGUGGGCAACCUGCCCUGCAGAUCGGGAUAACUCCGGGAAACCGGUGCUAAUACCGAAUAGUUUGGCGCCUCUCCUGAGGCGCCACGGAAGGACGGUCUCGGCUGUCACUGCAGGAUGGGCCCGCGGCGCAUUAGCUAGUUGGUGGGGUAACGGCCCACCAAGGCGACGAUGCGUAGCCGAACGGAGAGGGGGACCGGCGACACUGGGACUGAGACACGGCCCAGACUCCUACGGGAGGCAGCAGUAGGGAAUCUUCCGCAAUGGACGCAAGUCUGACGGAGCAACGCCGCGUGAGUGACGAAGGUUUUCGGAUCGUAAAACUCUGUUGUGAGGGAAGAACACGUACCAACUAACUAUUGGUACCUUGACGGUACCUCACCAGAAAGCCACGGCUAACUACGUGCCAGCCGCCGCCGUAA
This 512-nucleotide ribosomal RNA is filed under the name uncultured bacterium. RNAcentral's name for it is "partial 16S ribosomal RNA". It matches the Rfam family "Bacterial small subunit ribosomal RNA", at positions 28 to 523 of the family's 1533-position model. The record is from RNAcentral.